This is a non-coding RNA of Coturnix japonica (Japanese quail), 609 nucleotides long. The record is from RefSeq and is a predicted model, not a curated record. NCBI's taxonomy places the organism in Eukaryota, Metazoa, Chordata, Aves, Galliformes, Phasianidae.
UCUGGGCGGAGUGACAGAAGAUGGAGAAGUCAGUGAUGCUCCCUAAUCUGCUCAUGUUCCUGUCCAGGAGUGCAGUCAAUGAAAUGGCAGAGGGUACAGCAGGACUGGUGGGCAGGAUCCAUUGGAGAGGCUUACAAAGACCACAAUCACCAGCAUCCCCAUUUUCAGAGCUGGAAGAAGAGAAGUAUUGUUGUCUCUAUUCUGCCAGCAAACCUUAAUACCAGGUCUUGUAGGAAGCAGGUUUUGAUCUAUUCAAUUUAUGUUCAGACGAUGUUUGUUUUGUUGUCAUCUGUGCUCUUUGAAAUCCACCUGAAAUCAAAGCAAAUCUGGAAUCAUCUUCUGCUCUCCCAAGCAAUGGAAUAUCAAGCAACUUCUUUCCUAUCUUAUCUCUCUCAGGUGGUAAUUACUUGCCAAAACUGAAACUUUUGCAAAUGGGUGGAAAGCAUAAACUAUGAUGCAUUUCAAUGCCAGAAUUCUCAAGAAUAAAUUAUUUCAGAGAAAUUUCAAAGACAACAAAUCCUUUUCAAGAUUAGAAAGGUGGCUUUGUGUAAUGGAGUGAAAACAACAACAAAAAGUUCAAAACUGAAGUACUUAGAAACCAAGAUAAUG